AGUGAACGCUGGCGGUAGGCCUAACACAUGCAAGUCGAACGGCAGCACAGUAAGAGCUUGCUCUUACGGGUGGCGAGUGGCGGACGGGUGAGGAAUACAUCGGAAUCUACUUUUUCGUGGGGGAUAACGUAGGGAAACUUACGCUAAUACCGCAUACGACCUACGGGUGAAAGCAGGGGAUCUUCGGACCUUGCGCGAUUGAAUGAGCCGAUGUCGGAUUAGCUAGUUGGCGGGGUAAAGGCCCACCAAGGCGACGAUCCGUAACUGGUCUGAGAGGAUGAUCAGCCACACUGGAACUGAGACACGGUCCAGACUCCUACGGGAGGCAGCAGUGGGGAAUAUUGGACAAUGGGCGCAAGCCUGAUCCAGCCAUACCGCGUGUGUGAAGAAGGCCUUCGGGUUGUAAAGCCCUUUUGUUGGGAAAGAAAAGCAGCAGGUUAAUACCCCGCUGUUCUGACGGUACCCAAAGAAUAAGCACCGGCUAACUUCGUG
This 492-nucleotide ribosomal RNA is filed under the name uncultured bacterium. RNAcentral describes it as "partial 16S ribosomal RNA". It matches the Rfam family "Bacterial small subunit ribosomal RNA", at positions 29 to 507 of the family's 1533-position model. The record is from RNAcentral.